This 684-nucleotide small RNA is filed under the name Caenorhabditis elegans. RNAcentral's name for it is "Unclassified non-coding RNA F27D4.13". The record is from RNAcentral. Lineage: Eukaryota; Metazoa; Nematoda; Chromadorea; Rhabditida; Rhabditidae.
GAAAAAAGGGGGAGCACCAGAAGUAUACUCUUCAAUCCUCAUCAGAAUCGAGGUUUUCAACGUCUUCGUCAAUGUCGAACAAGUCCUCGUUGAUGUCCAUCUUUGCCAUUCCUGCAAUUUUUGAAAUUAGUUUUUGAGAUAGUGUGUCGGCUCGCCACAAGAGACCCAGACACAAUAAAGAAAACGUUUUUUUUUUUGCAAAACGUGUGUCUGUGGGAAAGGGAGAAAUUCAAUUGAUUUUUGCCGAAAGAUAACAGAUUUUGAAGUGACAGCCAAAAUGAUGUUUGAAUUUUUUUGUGUUGAUAAGAAUGAAAUGAGGAUAUUGACAGCCAGAGAAAAGCCACGUGUCAAAAAUAGUUUUUUAACAGAAAAAUUAGCCAUUCAAAUUUGACGAAAAUUGUUUUUUAUUUACGCACUGAAAAAAAUUACCUUUAGCAGUAGAUUCAACAGCAGUCGAGGAUUUGCUCAUUUGAUCCGUCAGUUCAUCGUCCAUUCCGUCGAAUUUGAAGAAGUUGGCAUCGAUUUCAAAUACCUUUUCAUUCUCCUGAAAUUAUUUAAAUUUUUGUAAAAUUAAAAUAAUUAAUUUCAAAAACUAACAUCAACUUCUUCCUUCUCCAUCUCAAUAUCUCCGGCCUCGUCGUCGUCGUUGUUGACCAGAUUGGCGUCAUAUAAGAAAAGAUCACG